Molecule: RNA transcript, 2433 nt
Organism: Daucus carota subsp. sativus
Lineage: Eukaryota; Viridiplantae; Streptophyta; Magnoliopsida; Apiales; Apiaceae
Gene name: pentatricopeptide repeat-containing protein At3g42630
Exons: 4
Source: RefSeq, a predicted model, not a curated record
AACUGUUUGUUUUUACAUUUCCCCAAUUCAACAAUGGAAGCUCUUUCAGUUAUGUGUUCAAGUCUUCCUCGUACAAACAUGAAAUCAAAGUGCUCCAGUGAGAACUUAAGUCGAAAAAUGAAACACCCACAUCGUUCUUUGUCCCAUAAGUUACUCAGGCAUUUGAAACAACAAGCUGCAGAUCAUGCCUCCACUCACUUAAAUUUUUCUUCGCAAAUUAUAAAUUUAAGUAAGAAAAAGAUGCCUCAUGCUGCUGAGGAGCUUGCGUUGGAGAUGAUAUCUGAAGGACAUUUACUUGAUUAUUCUACUUUUUCAGCUCUUUUCUUAUGUUAUGCCAAAAAUGAUUUGCUCCCCCAAGCACAAGCCACUUGGGAUGAAAUUUUGUACAGUUCCUAUGUGCCAAAUAUCCAAAUGAUUUCUGCACUUGUUGACGCCUAUGGAAGAGCGGGACUUUUUAAUAAAGUGACUGAACUUUUGCAUCAAGUAAGUUACAAGAACCCUAAAUUGUUAUCUGAGACUUACGCACUUGCCAUAUCUUGCUUUGGGAAGGCAGGGCAGCUUAAUUUGAUGGAGAGUGCAAUGACAGACUUGAUUUCAAAGGGAUUCAAGGUAGAUUCUAAAACCGGAAAUGCAUUUAUUGUAUAUUAUAGCACAUAUGGUACUCUAACUGAGAUGGAGGAUGCUUAUGGUCGCCUUAAAAGGUCAAGAAUUCUCAUAGAGAAAGAAGGAAUACAGGCGAUCUCAUAUGCUUAUAUAAAGAAUAAUAAAUUCUAUAAUUUAGGUGAGUUUAUAAGGGAUGUAGGUCUUGGUAGGCGAAACGUUGGAAAUCUUCUUUGGAACCUUUUGCUACUGUCUUAUGCAGCCAAUUUCAAAAUGAAGAGCUUGCAAAGAGAGUUCUCGAGAAUGAUUGAAUCUGGUUUUUGUCCUGAUCUUACUACAUUUAACAUCCGAGCUUUGGCUUUCUCAAAAAUGUCUUUGUUUUGGGAUCUUCAUGUAACCCUUAAGCACAUGAAACAUUAUGCAGUUGUUCCUGAUCUUGUAACUUAUGGUUCCGUAGUUGAUGCAUAUAUGGAUAGAAGACUCGGAAGGAAUUUGGAAUUUGCCUUGAGCAAUAUGAGAACUGAAGAUGCUCCUGUUGUAUCAACAGAUAAGAUUGUAUUUGAAGUUUUAGGGAAAGGAGACUUUCACUCAAGCUCCGAAGUCCUUUUGGAGUUUAACAUGGACAAAUAUUGGACCUACAAAGGGUUGAUAAAAAGAUAUCUAAAAAGACAACACCGAAGUAAUCAAGUAUUUUGGAAUUACUAAUAGGUGGCAUUUUUUGAUGCAUCUAAGCUACUUAUAGUAGUUGUAUGAGAAUAUAGCAGUACUGUCAGUUCCAUGUAAAUAUGCUAUAGCGGCUGAAGUUACAGAAGUUGGUGUCGUAGGUUUUUAAUUAUUGACCAAGGACAUUUCAUCGUCCAUGUUCCAGAUGUUUUGAUCUUCUUAAAGUCUCUUUGGAACUGAGGGGAAUCAGAAGCUCCUGACUUUUUGAUUUUGAUCAGUAAAGGGGAAGGCAUUAAAACUACAGUUUAACUGGCUUGUGGGUAGUGUGUCCUACAUUUCUAUUCUUUCUUUGGAUUCUCUUUAAACUUAUAAGAUGGUUCACCAGGGGUUCAGUACUUCGGCUUGAGUUUUCAUUUGCACAAAGCCUGCAUAGACAAGUGUGUCGGGUUCAGACCCAGGAAAGAAUUUGAAUUAUAUCAUAUCAAAACUGUCCGGCAAAAAGGAUGAUGAUGGCAACAAAUAUUGACGCCAGUGCCUCUGCUACAAAUUAUUACACUGAGGACAAUGGUUUAAACUGGUAAUUCUUCCAGAAAAGGACCUCGAGGCAAGCCUCUCAGAAUUCAUUACUGCCUGGAUGGACAGUUCUGGUUAAUCUGAUUGUGCAUCCAAUUAAACACAAUUUAGUUACAUAUCAGGGACCAGGACAAUGUAAUUGCAUCAGGUGUGGUGAAUCUUUUAGGGAUGGGGGCAUGCAAUCAAUCGACAGAUACUUAGAAAGCUAUUUUAUAUGCUGCAUCAAUCUGUAUUAGUCCAGUCACCCUAUCCAAAGCCUCUGCUUCGAAUGCUUCACACAGUUUAUCGGCUGGCUUUGAGAAGGAUUUCAGAUUCUAUCGAGCUGAAAUGAAGAGAAGUAUCAAUACUGUGGUUUAAGAGGGUCAUGACUCUCAAGUCCUUUUUGAUUUUGUUAACAAAUUUCUUGUUCUGUGAUGAUAUAUAUGUUUAAAAUAUGUAGUACUAUUUUAGAACAGAACAGAGAGUUAUCCGUUCUUAUACAAAAUAUGUAUUGUUGUAAUGUAGCAUCAGAAAAUGUUUAUCGGUGCUAUAUUAAAAGUUGGAUUCCAAUUCUAGUUCCAUAAGUGGUUUUGAAUUAAUUAUAUUUUUUCACUUUUA